GAUGAAGAACGCAGCGAAAUGCGAUACGUAAUGUGAAUUGCAGAAUUCAGUGAAUCAUCGAGUCUUUGAACGCACAUUGCGCCCCUUGGUAUUCCAUUGGGCAUGCCUGUUCGAGCGUCAUUUACACCCUCAAGCCUAGCUUGGUGUUGGGCGUUGUCCGCAAGGACUCGCCUCAAAUUCAUUGGCAGCGGCAUCGUCAGCUUCUCGCGCAGCACAUUGCGCUUCAGAAGGCUUCUGGCGGGCUCGCGUCCACUAAGAUACCACCCAGUUUGACCUCGAAUCAGGUAGGGAUACCCGCUGAACUUAAGCAUAUCAAUAAGCGGAGGA
RNAcentral lists this unclassified non-coding RNA (327 nucleotides) under soil metagenome. Its description in RNAcentral is "partial contains 5.8S ribosomal RNA, internal transcribed spacer 2, and large subunit ribosomal RNA". The stretch from base 1 to 120 matches the Rfam family "5.8S ribosomal RNA", at positions 35 to 154 of the family's 154-position model. The record is from RNAcentral.